AUAAUGGUACUUCCGUCUAGUCAUAAAGCCGAGCGUGAUAAUACCGUCGCAGCAAAUGAGGGCGGCCCGCAGAGAUCCUGGGGGAGAUGAAAUUUCUAUGG
Molecule: non-coding RNA, 101 nt
Filed under: unclassified sequences
Description: pemK RNA
Rfam family: pemK RNA
Source: RNAcentral